RNAcentral lists this unclassified non-coding RNA (481 nucleotides) under Hevea brasiliensis (rubber tree). Lineage: Eukaryota; Viridiplantae; Streptophyta; Magnoliopsida; Malpighiales; Euphorbiaceae. The record is from RNAcentral.
AGAAUCCUCAUCACUACUAUGGGCUCCAUUAUACUCGACGGAGGUCUUCUAAUAAUGCUGAGGCAUCAACUUCCCGUGGUGGGACCACUUCUUUUUAUGAUGAGCUGAUGUCUGCAAAGUCAGCUAGUAAAUGCAACUCGGAUUCUGGACAUGACACAGAGAGUAAACCUCAAAAACCAGAAAGUGUUGGCGUUGCGCCCAGUUUACUGGCAACAAAUGCAACGUCUUCCAACGUCACCAAGCAGUUUUGCGGAUUAUGUCAGAAGCCUUUGAGAAAGAAACACUAUAUGCUCGAUAGCAACAUACCUUCCUACGAGCCCUCUGUUGUGGCAGUUUUAGUUUGUGGUCAUCUUUACCAUGCUGAUUGUUUGGAGGAAAGAACUCAUCAUGACAAUGCAACAGAUCCUCCCUGCCCGAUCUGUCGUGGCAUCAAUUGAGUAGGUUUGCUUCUCUACCUGAAUGUAGAUAACCUCAGAUGCAG